UACGUAGGGUGCAAGCGUUGUCCGGAAUCAUUGGGCGUAAAGCGCGCGUAGGCGGCCCCGUAAGUCCGCUGUGAAAGUCAAAGGCUCAACCUUUGAAAGCCGGUGGAUACUGUGGGGCUAGAGUCCGGAAGAGGCGAGUGGAAUUCCUGGUGUAGCGGUGGAAUGCGCAGAUAUCAGGAGGAACACCAAUAGCGAAGGCAGCUCGCUGGGACGUUACUGACACUGAGGCGCGAAAGCGUGGGGAGCGAACAGG
Molecule: ribosomal RNA, 253 nt
Filed under: uncultured bacterium
Lineage: Bacteria
Description: partial 16S ribosomal RNA
Rfam family: Bacterial small subunit ribosomal RNA
Source: RNAcentral